This 485-nucleotide ribosomal RNA is filed under the name uncultured bacterium. Its description in RNAcentral is "partial 16S ribosomal RNA". It matches the Rfam family "Bacterial small subunit ribosomal RNA", at positions 28 to 507 of the family's 1533-position model. The record is from RNAcentral.
AUUGAACGCUGGCGGCAUGCCUUACACAUGCAAGUCGAACGGCAGCGGGCCCUUCGGGGUGCCGGCGAGUGGCGAACGGGUGAGUAAUGCAUCGGAACGUACCCGGGAGAGGGGGAUAACCGGCCGAAAGGCUGGCUAAUACCGCAUGAACUCGGAAGAGCAAAGCGGGGGACCUUCGGGCCUCGCGCUCUCGGAGCGGCCGAUUUCCGAUUAGGCUAGUUGGUGGGGUAAAGGCACACCAAGGCGACGAUCGGUAGCGGGUCUGAGAGGACGAUCCGCCACACUGGGACUGAGACACGGCCCAGACUCCUACGGGAGGCAGCAGUGGGGAAUCUUGGACAAUGGGCGCAAGCCUGAUCCAGCAAUGCCGCGUGGGUGAAGAAGGCCUUCGGGUUGUAAAGCCCUUUCGGCGGGGAAGAAAUCGGUCAGGCGAAUAGUCUGGCCGGAUGACGGUACCCGCAGAAGAAGCACCGGCUAACUACGUG